Molecule: unclassified non-coding RNA, 338 nt
Filed under: Hevea brasiliensis (rubber tree)
Lineage: Eukaryota; Viridiplantae; Streptophyta; Magnoliopsida; Malpighiales; Euphorbiaceae
Source: RNAcentral
AAUUACUUCACAAAGAAUUUUGAAAAAUUUAAUGACAAUUGGUUCCAUUAUAUUCUCUUCUGUAUGAUAUCCCAUUGCCCCUCUGGCCCACUGUUCACAAGCAGGCAAGGGCGCCGCAGAAGACGGAUCCAUACUCCAUGCUCUUUUGUGCUUGAAACCUACCUGAUAUAUUAGUUCCAUAAAUAAAGCAUUCUUUGCAACUUGUGGUAGCACAUGGCCUAUGACUAUAAGUUGGAAUCCCAGUACAUCCUAAGGGAUUUGAUAACUAGAUGUUUAUGAUGACUUAUUGCCCUUGAAUCUAUUAGUGGUUUAUUAUGAUGAGAAGAUAUCCUCACCAU